RNAcentral lists this ribosomal RNA (1761 nucleotides) under Triticum aestivum (bread wheat). RNAcentral describes it as "partial small subunit ribosomal RNA". Lineage: Eukaryota; Viridiplantae; Streptophyta; Magnoliopsida; Poales; Poaceae. The record is from RNAcentral.
AUGGGGGAGGUUGGUGCAGACACGAUCUACACCCAAGAUGGCACCGUGGACAUCAAGGGCAACCAGGCCGUCAAGAGCAACACCGGCAACUGGCACGCCUGCCCCUACAUCCUCGCUAACGAAUGCUGCGAGCGGCUGGCGUACUACGGCAUGAGCGCCAACCUGAGCAACUUCAUGCUGGACAACAUGGGCAUGAACAAGAGCGACGCCGCCAACACCGUCAGCAACUGGACGGGAACCUGCUAUGCCGCCCCCCUCAUCGGCGCCUUCCUCGCCGACGCCUACCUCGGCCGCUUCUGGACCAUCGCCUCCUUCGUGAUCAUCUACGUCAUCGGUCUGGGCCUCCUGACGGUUGCGGCGUCGGUGAAAGGGCUGGUGCCGACGUGCGCGGCCAAGGGGGUGUGUAACCCGACGGCGGGGCAGACGGCGGCGGUGUUCGUCGGUCUGUACCUCGUCGCUCUGGGCACGGGCGGGAUCAAGCCCUGCGUGUCCUCGUUCGGAGCUGACCAGUUCGACGAGCACGACGAGAGCGAGCGGCGGAGCAAGAGCUCCUUCUUCAACUGGUUCUACUUGUCCAUCAACAUCGGCGCGCUGGUGGCGUCGUCCGUGCUGGUGAAUGUGCAGGUGCGCUACGGCUGGGGCUGGGGCUUCGGCAUCCCCGCCGUCGUCAUGGCCAUCGCCGUCGGCAGCUUCUUCGUCGGCACGCCGCUCUACCGCCACCAGCGCCCCGGCGGCAGCCCGCUCACCCGCAUCGCGCAGGUGCUCGUCGCGGCCACGCGCAAGCUGAGCGUCCCCGUCGACGGGUCGGCGCUGUACGAGACGACGGAGAGGGAGUCCGGCAUCGAGGGGAGCCGCAAGCUGGAGCACACCGAGCAGUUCAGGUUCCUCGACAAGGCGGCCGUGGAGACGCCGGCGGACAGGACUGCGACGGCGCCAUCGGCGUGGAGGCUGUGCACGGUGACGCAGGUGGAGGAGCUCAAGAGCGUGGUGCGGCUGCUGCCCAUCUGGGCGAGCGGCAUCGUCUUCGCGGCGGUGUACGGGCAGAUGAACACCGUGUUCGUGUUCCAGGGAAACACCCUCGACAAGCGCAUGGGCGCCCACUUCUCCAUCCCCUCUGCCUCGCUCUCUACCUUCGACACCCUCAGCGUCAUCUUCUGGGUGCCCGUGUACGACCGCCUCCUCGUCCCGGCCGUCCGCUCCGUCACCGGCCACCCCCGCGGCUUCACGCAGCUCCAGCGCAUGGGUGUCGGCCUCGUCGUCUCGAUCUUCUCCAUGGUCGCCGCCGGCGUGCUCGAGCUUUUCCGCCUCCGCACGGUCGCGCGGCUCGGGCUGUACGGGGAGGAGGACAUCGUGCCCAUCUCCAUCUUCUGGCAGGUGCCGCAGUACUUCAUCGUCGGCGCCGCCGAGGUGUUCGUCUUCGUGGGGCAGCUGGAUUUCUUCUACGACCAGGCGCCGGACGCCAUGAGGAGCAUGUGCAUGGCGCUAUCGCUGACGGCGGUAGCACUGGGGAGCUACGUGAGCACGCUGCUGGUGACGGUGGUGAAGAAGGUGACGACGACGGGUGGAAAGCAAGGGUGGAUCCCGGACAAGAACCUCAACGUCGGCCACCUCGACUACUUCUUCUGGCUAAUGACCGUGCUCAGCGUUGUCAACUUUGCUAUCUACCUGCCCAUCGCCAACUGGUAUUCCUACAAGAGGACCGCCGAAGCCGAAUACAACCCGGAUGCCAUUGAAGGAGGUGAUGAUCCACAUGGCACAUGA